Molecule: non-coding RNA, 97 nt
Organism: Myodes glareolus (Bank vole)
Lineage: Eukaryota; Metazoa; Chordata; Mammalia; Rodentia; Cricetidae
Source: RefSeq, a predicted model, not a curated record
AGAACCCAGGACCACCAACCCAGGGACGGCACCUCCCACAAGAAAGUUCCAGUCCUGCCGGUCUCGAAGAAGACCAACAGGAGGAGGGAGAAAAGAA